Molecule: non-coding RNA, 288 nt
Organism: Manis javanica (Malayan pangolin)
Lineage: Eukaryota; Metazoa; Chordata; Mammalia; Pholidota; Manidae
Source: RefSeq, a predicted model, not a curated record
GCAGCGACAACGGCCCAACUCUGCUCUGGCCUUCGACCCCGGGAGUCUCCUCGGACUGGGCCCGCAGGGUCAGAGGGCAGGGUGAAGACUUAUGGGAGGGACCGGUCCCCUAACUGUGCCCCUAGACAUCCUGCCUCAGCUCUGGGGUUGACAGGAAGUGAAACUCACUUGUCUGCCUAAGCAGACCUGCUGGGGACCCAGCCCUGGGCCCCAAAUGUGGCCCCCCACCUUGAGAAGAAGAAGAGGAAGGAGGAGCCUGGAGAGAACAAGGCUGUUGUUUUUUCCUUU